AAUGUCCGAGUAAGAAUAUCUUAUCGGCAUAAGGUUAUUAUGGGUUUGUAGGAAUUCUUCAAUUGUGUCAUAUUCCGACCGAUGUUUCCUUCGCCAUUUGAAUACAAGAAAAGCAAUUACAAAUGGAAAUCCAAAUAAAGCUCUUCCAACCAAAAACUUUCCUGCAUUUACGGAAGCAUUCAAUAGAGACAAUGCAAGGGUUACGUUUAUAGAAGUACAAGGUUUUCAUGUGUGUCGUGUGUUCUUAUGUUGUCUCUAUAUGUAAAUAUGAUACUGAUAUAUUUUCAGAUUCAUUAACGAAAGUUCUUAGUUCUUACCAAUAACAGUGAAUAUCAAUGAGUACUCAACUGCGGAAAAUGUAGAAAAAAUUACUGAUGUUGAUAUUCAAUAAAAAGAACUAAUUAAUUAAAUAUGAUCACGUAUCAUGUAAUAAAUAGAGAGAGACCUUACAUUUGAUUGCAUUGACGAUCGUACUGAUUCCAUACAUCAAUAUACCGAGCAGAUCAGGUAUACCGAAGUGGUUAUUAGUGUCCUGGUGGAUUCGCAAAGAGGAGUUGUAGUACAAGAAAAGCUCAAACCCAUAGGCAAGUUGCCUGUGAAUUUCAACGCAGGAUAUAUUAUUAUUAUCCUUGUUCUCGAAAGCCUUUUCAUCUGGAAGCAAAGAUAUCAUCUCCACGCUGCACAACUCCAUCAAAUCAGAUACCUUGGUAUCUUCAUCUAUAAUCUACGCAUAAGUAUAUGUCUCCAAAGCAGAACCUCCAUUAAUGCAAGUAGAACAGUCCAGGUAAGAUGGGGAGUACACUGGAUUUGGGCACUUUAUGAAACUAAUCAUCUGUCGUGAAUAGGAAUUCAAGUAUCGAUCAUCUCCCUCCAAGAAGUUGCUAGGAGUUAAAGGAAAACGAGGAAUGGAGGAGCAAUCAUCUGGGUUGAUGCCAUCAUCCACCAGUCGGAUGGUGGAGUGAUCGUAGUUGAUGGCCUGCACAUAGUAUCUUCCUCUGAAUAGAUUCAACACUGUGAUAUUAUUUUCGCAAGAAAGCUCAUAUCUAUGUUUUCCGCAAUGGUUUGGAUC
RNAcentral lists this unclassified non-coding RNA (1069 nucleotides) under Hevea brasiliensis (rubber tree). The record is from RNAcentral. Lineage: Eukaryota; Viridiplantae; Streptophyta; Magnoliopsida; Malpighiales; Euphorbiaceae.